RNAcentral lists this transfer RNA (90 nucleotides) under Ignavibacteriales bacterium. RNAcentral's name for it is "tRNA-Phe". Lineage: Bacteria; Pseudomonadati; Ignavibacteriota; Ignavibacteria; Ignavibacteriales. The record is from RNAcentral.
GAGCUAAUUUCAGUUGCGUGCCAGUCCCGGAUGUAGUAGAGCGCCCCGAUGAAAUCGGGGAGGUCAGCGGUUCGAACCCGCUUAGCUCCA